Non-coding RNA from Coturnix japonica (Japanese quail), 7317 nucleotides. The record is from RefSeq and is a predicted model, not a curated record. NCBI's taxonomy places the organism in Eukaryota, Metazoa, Chordata, Aves, Galliformes, Phasianidae.
CCUGUGAAUAAAGGAAGAGAAUAAGAACAAGGCAAGUAUUUGCUAGACAUCCUUUUAGCAUGCCCUUCCCCCCAAGCAAACAUCCACAAUCAAUGCAAGUAAGCACUAUACGUGGGCUCCCUGCUCCUGCAACCCCAGCACGUCUCAAACAUGUAACCAUGGUGAAUGUCCUGAUGAUUACAGCCUGCAGAUAUACUGCUCCUCAGAAACGUAACAUCUGCCAUGUUUCCCGUGUCUGCUUUAAAUCACUACACAGAUCUGAGAGCUCCUCGGGGAUUCAUAGCAUCUACGUGGGGCCUAAUGAGAGGGAGGUUUUUAGGAGUAGGUGUUUUAAUUAGGCUUUGGGGGCAGACGGGAUCCAGAAGUCUACCUUCAAGCUGCAAGCAAGGGAAGGAGCUGACCUGUAGCAUCAGCAGGAUAAUUAGUAGACAGAUGAAACUACAGAUACAAGUCUUAUUGUUCAUAUCUGCAUUCUACAGCCAUCCACACCCACAAAAAAGCAUCUGUACCUCAGUUCAAGCCCUCCAAUAAAUUCUAAGGGGGACCUCAAACCAGCAUGCUUGACCUUUUUUUAGACCCUUAUGUAUCUCCUGUUUUAAUCCCAAACAACCCUAGUCACCGUGACUAUCCAAUUGUUGGCUCCAGUACUGCAAAUUCUGAGCUGUUCCUCAUGGAGCUACCCAGAAGCUGGAGAAAUCCUGCUGUCCUGCUAUGGUUGAGCAGCCACAGUGUACCUCUGGCAGCUGCCAGAAUAAUAUUUAAAAGCAAAGUCAAAAUAGGCAAUAGGAUUCCCUUCUCCCUGGGAACAGCUGCUGUCAGACUGCUAUUGCUUCCUGCCAGGGCUCUGGGCCACCCCAUACCCUGCUGAGCAUGCAAAUCCCAACUCCAAGCUGUCAGCUGCUCCCUCAUGGAGACGAUACCAGCCCUGUGAGUCGGGAGCAGCAGGGGUUCCUCACAGCACAUGUUAAUCCUUUGCUGAAUGAUCUGCGUCAGCUCUGCUGUCCUUGUGCCAAGCUGGCACCCUCGCAGCAUGUAGUCCAGGGCAGAGCACAGGUCCUUGGACUUCCCUACUGUAAAAUGCACUUUCAGCUAAUCCUUCUGCUGUUAUACAAAGAACAGCAGAAAAAUGGCUCCAAGUGUCUAGCCUUGCUUGCUUGGUAUCUCAAGAAAAACAGAAGAAAAGUCGGGCUCCCAAGAACAACAGCCCAAUCCGUGCAGGGCAGCACACUAGCAAUCAGCCCCACUAUUCCUGAAGCCCCCCAGAUGCCACUCUCUCCUUUCCUUCUCACACUGGUUCUCUUCCUGCUUUUGUGAAAAAGCAGAUCUGAAAAACUUCAUUUUUCCCAGCAGGUUCAGAAGACAUCAUUUGGUAUCAUCAAAGCAGCAAGGAGGGUUUGGCAGGGAACAAACACAGCUCCUCCAGAAGGAGAGCCCACAUUUGGGACCAGCAGAUCCAGUUUAACCCCCAGUCUGGAAGCUGAAACCACAUUUGAUUUGACUGCCUACCCUCCUCUCACACCCACACUCAAACCUGAAGUGGCAGAGCAGCUUUUAAGCCACCAAGACAGAUGAAUCGUGACAGUAUUUGCAAUUCAAAGUUGAACCUACAAGGCAGCGUCCUCAAUUAUGUGAGCUGUCACAUGCUGAAAGCAGUGAUGUGUCUCAGCAAGUAUGCACACCACAGAGUCACUCUGUGUCCCGGUGCCUCCCAGAUUUCCAGCCCCAGGUAGACUUUCCAGAUGCAGUUUUGCUAACAGUACUGAAAACACCAGUUCUAAACAUGAGUCAUGACACUGGCACACCACUAUGUGCUGUAAAGGUAUGGCUAAUAUCCAUUAGAUCUUAAAGUGCAGUAAGACUGCCUGCUUAGGCCUUUGUUCCCAUUUUUGCGUUCCCACUUCAAGAAUCCCUAGGGGAAGAAUUCUCAUGCAGAAGAGAUUGCUUCAGGGCAAAAUAGAUGCCUGGUUUGCAUGCAACCAUCUUCCCACAGCUCUUCAAGCAAGUGUCCUCUUCGUCAUAGCCUCACCUUCCCCUGUAGAUUGCCAUUGAGGCCACCAUGACCAUGAGUGCUUGGCUUUGUGCUCACACAAACUUCAGCAGUGAGCCUGAGGAGACCCAAUGAAGUACUGCACUGAUACAAAGGAAAAAGCUAAAUCCUUGGCAUGUGGUGGUGAUUAUUUGGUUUAAUUUAUGUAUAACUGUACCUAGAGCAACCCAUGCCUGCAGCACUUGCUCUGCCUCUACUUGCAGACCAGCCAGUCUGUAUUCUGAUUGCACACUCCUCCAUAAGCAUCACAAAAGGAAACAUCAGUUCUGCUGUUCUGCUCUGAAGGGUAGCCCUGCAACAGCACAGACACAAACUCAUGCUGGAUACCUGGGCCAGGCCAAUGUCCGCAGAGAGGUGAGGAUAACUGCCUGCACCAGAGAGCAGUUGUGUAUUGCCACAAAAGGAAGAUAUGGCCAUAUUUCCUCCCUGUGUUCCUGGUGUACAGCUUUUGGUCAGAUGCAGAGGCAGCUCCAUUAUUCCUUCUGUUUUUGAGUUGUGAUUUGGGUUGAGAUGACUUCUUCAGAGCCCUUGCCAACAAUCAGACCAUGCAUGCUUCAAAGCACACUUUGCUGGCCUAUAGGAAAUACCCAUGAAAUGCCAGAUACCCGUGACGGAUCAGAUGGUUCAGAGGGACGCUGACAGUAAGAAAGGAAAGCACUUGCAUCAGUGUUCAGUUGCUCUGUGCUGGCAGACAGACAAGCCCAGCUGUAAGCCUACUUGGCUUUCUAACAGACAGAAGGGUUUUGCAUGAAGGAAGGAAAAUCUUACCCAGGCUUUUGCUUUCUGCUGCAUUUUCUACACAGCUUGCACUGCCACAGGGGUAUGCUAGGUGGCACAAGGUUCCCUGUCCACAUGUCAAUGAUCUACAGCAAGGGCACAGGGCUGAGAGAUUUUGCUGCAGCCCGCCAGGCCAUCUCCUUUCUCAUGGAGCUGUCAGGAGGAUACAUUUGCACAGUACGAGCCCAAUGGCAUUUCUGUGGUGUCAGUAAGGAUCUGGGACAACAAGCAAGCAGUGGACAAGCAGGAUCUAAGCCCUGGCUGCAUGCUGCUGCUCACAUCAUCCUUCUCUCUUGGGAUCUUGAUAUAUCAGCCAUGCUUCACAAUAGGAACACAGAACUUAUUCCUACAUCCUGCCCUGCCUCAUCACUGCCCUCUCACUCUAUUCCAUACCCCCAAACUGCUGCAGUCAUAUCCUUGCUUUUGUAGCUUUACUGCUCUUUUGCUUUCAUACCCCAAAUCCCUUCUCUGUGCUGUGUCUCAUAACAAGCCUGCUUCUAUUUCAGGUCAUUUAAAUCUUGUCUUCACCACUCUUGGCUUGGAUGAAACAUAAAAGCCGCUUCCUGCAAAUGCUGCUGUACAGCACGCAUAAACUUAUUCUCAAGGACUGCACUCCAAAAAGCACUACUCCCUGUUGCCAGGACUGCUGGGAUGCAGAACCACUGCACACCAGGCCAGAGAACCUCAGGUCAACUGCAGAGCGCCCUGCUCAGCACAGGCCCCAGCACUGCCCUUGUUGACAUCGCCCACGCUGCCCUUCAAGCCCAAGAAGCCCUGAGACCAUCACCCUAGGGGCAGAUGUUCUGCAAGGCCUCCCUGAAAGCCAGCCUGGUGAGACACAUGGAGAGAUGUCCUCCCUGGAUACUGCAGCCUCCAAGUUUAGCCAUAAACUUGAUCACACAAAUACCAGCUUGGUCACAGGAACACCAAACACCCUCCUUCCUUUCCCAGUUCAUGACAGUCAGUUAGCACUUGACCUCUCACUGUCACAGCAGAAGAGAACACCAUCACAACUCAAUAGUUGCUAAAGCUCCAGGGAAGCUCCUGACACUGGGCUGAGCGUACCUGUAGGUGGAGAACUUGGGUAGAAGGCAUUUCAGAUGCUCAGCUCAGCAGCUAAAGGAGAGCAAUUAUUCAAAAUGCAAAUCUGCAUCUCAUUUUACGUCUCAGUGGUUUCUCUGAGCUCACCCCUACUAAUGCUAAUAACAUUUGGAAAACAUUAUGUUCGUCUCAAAACACCAUUUUAAAACAUUUUUUUUCUCAGGGCCACAUAAUUAUAGCCGGAACUGAAACUCAAUUAAAACAAAAAAAAACAGCAUUUCCAAAACCAGACAAUAUCAUACUUCCCAUCUCCAUACUCACAAGCCAGAACAGAGACAGCAGAAGCAAAUAAUCAAAAUAACUCCAUCAAGAUGCAGAUUCUCUCAAAAGAAGUCGUGAAGGUUUGAGCCCUUCUAUCUUGUUCUGACGAUCUGAAAGAAGCAGCUCAGGAAUACCUAAUGCCUAAGCCAGCACAGGCAGCUAUCAGUGUGGCUCCAUGACACAGCAACACCUCUCUCCUCUUUCUGCAGCUCACAGAGAGGUUUCAUGCAGUUGCACUGCCAUCUCAGUAACAGAUGGGCCAGAAGGAGACUGAUUUUUGACAUGAAAGCAAUGCCUUUUCUCUGAUUUGUCCUCCAUCUAUUUCAGAUAGUAUUUCAGCAUAAGUAGCCCCUCUUGUCCAGCUCUGCUGUUCCCUGUCCUGUAAGGCACUCGUCCUUUGUGUUUCCUACUGCAGGGGGCAUGUGGAAGCAAACAGCCCCUGCUCCUGAGAGCCAACAAUGGAGAAAGGAGGCGGCCACAGGGGACAAAUAUAUAGGACAUGAAAAUGAGAGUGGGUGCUGGGGAAAAGCUGAAACAGAAAAUGAGAAAUCCUCCAAAUUGCUGAGUAUUUCAUCACCAUUCUAAUAUCUGCCCUAAAAAGCAUCCUGGAAUCAGCAGGCUGCAACACAGCUCUUACAGAUGACUGCAAUACAAAGCCAUGAAAAAUUGAUUUGCUUCAUUAACAUUUUAGGACCUUAUUAGCUGGAACGAAAUUGACUGUCAAGGCAUUUUAAGGGCGAGUCACAGUAUAACGAGCUCAGAGCAAAUUAUCUUCAUCCCAAAAUAGAAAGAGGUCUGUUACUGAGUAACCAAGCCCAGAAUCUACCUUUAGGUUAUUUUUAAUUCCACCCUUUUGACCAUAGCUGGGCACUUUUUCAUCCUGGCAAAGCAGGGACCAGAUGGAAAGAAAGCUGCCAACUGCACUAGUCUGGCUGCUCUCAUCCAGUAACAGCAGGGCUGCACACAAGAGCAGCCACCUGAAUAUCAGACACUGCAGCUUCAGCCAGUACAAACAGACAGUUCCCACCAGCCUACCUUUCAAACAAAGUAAGCCCAAAGCUAUUACACUCAGCACAGAAGAGAUGUUGAGCUUUCUCCUCCAUCUAGAGGAUCAGAAUGUAGCAGGUCCCACUGGAAGGAAAAAUGGAGUCUAAAAAAAGCUCUCAAAGCCAUUACUUUGACAAACAAAGCAAACAGGCAAUGUUCUCCCAUGUCUGCAGGGAAUGACUGGGACUGGUCAAACUGGCAUUUUGCUAGCACCAGCUCCCUGGAUUUGGGUUACAUGUUAAAAGCUGGCAAGACAAAAAGCCAGCUCCUGGAAGGAACCAAAGAGAGGCUUACCAGAUUCUGUCCUAUGGACUGCUAGCUAGUCAUAGGGCAGGAGCAAGACUCAGUCUGACCACCUGCUGAUCACAGAGGAGAUUGAGGCAAGCACAUAAGACACUUUCUUUGGGCAGAAGCUAGCCGAGGGUUGGGAGAAAUAGAAAAAAUCAAAUCAAAACACACACAGAAGGCGUGUACGUACCUGUGCUUCCCAACAGUUUUUCUGGAGAUUAAAUAAACUCCUCCCAGAUAAAAGCAACUUGACUCCAUUGGUUGUUCUUCUUACCUUAAAGCCAUUCCAACCCUCCCAAUGUGAACAGUAAAAUGAAUUGGAGGAGGGAGCUGCUUUUUCAAACCUGCAUGGCAAGUAUUCACUUCCAGAUCACUUAAGGUGAGAAGCACACACAAAACUCUAAACCCUCCCUGCAUACCAUUCUUCAGAAUAAAACAGGGAGCCAAUUAUGCAAAAGAGUGAAUUCCUUCACCAGCACUCAAGUGGUUUAAGGAGCACAGUCUAAUCAGCUUAGCUCCCAUUCAGGCUUACAUCAAAAAGGUAUUUUACCUGUUAAUUGAACCAACUCACACUCAUCCCUUAAAGACGAAAGGGAAGCCCCAUUUCAAACUAUUAAGAAGCCUCUGUACUUUGGAAUUUGAUCUGUGCACGUACAUUGCAGGAUUUAUUCUACACGUGUGCUCAAUUUGAGCAAAACGUUUUCUUGCUGCUUUUUCUACAGUCACCCAGUUUCUCCUGGUUAAUAAAUAACAGCACACUGCAAACAGAGGGCAGGUAUGGCUUCAGCUGAGUAGAUACCAUUUGAUUUCAAGUACUUCUAUUAUUAACAAAGUUGCUGGUUUUGAAGUACAAGUAAGCUGCUGGAUUUGCGCUGCUCAGUGGUCAAGAACAAAGCUCUGUCUGUCCCUUUACUAGUAAGAGCUUUCCAAAACCUUUUCUUCUUGUCCUCUUUUCCAGAAGAGAUGAGGAUUAAUCUUUUAAAUCUAUUUUUCCUCUUUAUUUUUUUUUUUAGUGAAACUCCAGUAUUUCCAAUCAUUUGACCACUUUUCUUCGAACCUUCUUGUUCCCUAAUACCCAAAUGAGUGACAACUAAGAGUUAUAAAUCAAGGUGAUAACUCACUUUUGCUUGCAAACAUAUUUUGCCUAUGGGAAACCGCUUAUUUAUGGACCGCAUCGUAGACUGUUUCACUACCUUUGCUGAAAGCAACUCUUAGCCCUUUUAUUCUGCCACUGGAACGCCUUCCAAAAUGAGAAGUCAUGUGAGUUCAGAAACAAUAGUUUUGCUGCUUAACUCCCGCAGAGUUCAUCACCUGCUAAAUGCCAUCUGGUCUUGAGUUUUUACUGCCCCCAAAUAAAGCGCAGCAUCCUUCUCUGCUGCUUAAAAAGCACUUCUCCCAUUGCAGCCACAUUUGCCACUGAACCAGGAGGGAGCCUUGGGGGCUGUAAGGAACAUAUCAGUCUCCCAGGGAAACAUUUCACUCCUCCAGCACCUCCUCUAUCAUCCUGCACCUCCCCAGGGGUGCCAUGCUCUGCAGUGGGGCUCCAGGACAGGGCUUCAGCAAGCUUCAGGGCUGCUAAGAAGCCACGAGUUACCUUAGAGCGCUUUCCACAAAGCAGUAGCACAGCCAAGGAUGCAAAUCUACCACAUACCAACUCACACAACGUACUGUUCUAAGAAAAACAAGGAGCAACUGCUCUUGGCUCAAGCCAAGGGAGAGUGCAAGCCAGCCAAGAACCAGCAGAAUCUUUCUCUCCACUAGGCAAAAAAAGUGUGCUCCAUAAGUAAAAAAAAAAA